GACGAAGCUGGCGGCGUGCUUAACACAUGCAAGUCGAACGGAAAGGCCCUGCUUUUGGGGGGUGCUCGGGUGGCGAACGGGGGAGUAACACGUGAGUAACCUGCCCUUGACUUUGGGAUAACUUCAGGAAAAUGGGGGUAAUACCGGAUAGGAACUCCUGCUGCCAGGGGGGGGGUGGAAAGUUUCGGCGGUUGGGGAUGGACUCGCGGCUUAUCAGCUUGUUGGUGGGGUAGUGGCUUACCAAGGCUUUGACGGGUAGCCGGCCUGAGAGGGUGACCGGCCACAUUGGGACUGAGAUACGGCCCAGACUCCUACGGGAGGCAGCAGUGGGGAAUAUUGCACAAUGGGCGGAAGCCUGAUGCAGCAACGCCGCGUGCGGGAUGACGGCCUUCGGGUUGUAAACCGCUUUCGCCUGUGACGAAGCGUGAGUGACGGUAAUGGGUAAAGAAGCACCGGCUAACUACGUG
RNAcentral lists this ribosomal RNA (467 nucleotides) under uncultured bacterium. Its description in RNAcentral is "partial 16S ribosomal RNA". It matches the Rfam family "Bacterial small subunit ribosomal RNA", at positions 35 to 507 of the family's 1533-position model. The record is from RNAcentral.